UGGCUACGAGGACGAACGCUGGCGGCGUGCCUAAUACAUGCAAGUCGAACGGUCUUUCUAUGGAAGCUGCUUCCACUGAGAAGAUAGUGGCGAACGGGUGAGUAACACGUGGGUAACCUGCCCAUAAGAGGGGGGAUAACAUCCGGAAACGGGUGCUAAUACCGCAUAGUUUUCUUGAUCGCAUGAUCGGGAAAGGAAAGACGGCCUUUGUGCUGUCGCUUAUGGAUGGACCCGCGGCGUAUUAGUUAGUUGGUGAGGUAACGGCUCACCAAGACGAUGAUACGUAGCCGACCUGAGAGGGUGAUCGGCCACGUUGGGACUGAGACACGGCCCAAACUCCUACGGGAGGCAGCAGUAGGGAAUCUUCCGCAAUGGACGAAAGUCUGACGGAGCAACGCCGCGUGAGUGAAAGAAGGUUUUCGGAUCGUAAAACUCUGUUGUCAGAGAAGAACAAGUUGGAGAGUAACUGCUCCAGCCUUGACGGUAUCUGACCAGAAAGCCACGGCUAACUACGUGCCAGCCGCCGC
This 527-nucleotide ribosomal RNA is filed under the name uncultured bacterium. Its description in RNAcentral is "bacterial SSU rRNA". It matches the Rfam family "Bacterial small subunit ribosomal RNA", at positions 26 to 518 of the family's 1533-position model. The record is from RNAcentral.